CAGUCGUACGCUUCUUUUUCCCCGGAGCUUGCUCCACCGGAAAAAGAAGAGUGGCGAACGGGUGAGUAACACGUGGGUAACCUGCCCAUCAGAAGGGGAUAACACUUGGAAACAGGUGCUAAUACCGUAUAACAAUCGAAACCGCAUGGUUUUGAUUUGAAAGGCGCUUUCGGGUGUCGCUGAUGGAUGGACCCGCGGUGCAUUAGCUAGUUGGUGAGGUAACGGCUCACCAAGGCCACGAUGCAUAGCCGACCUGAGAGGGUGAUCGGCCACAUUGGGACUGAGACACGGCCCAAACUCCUACGGGAGGCAGCAGUAGGGAAUCUUCGGCAAUGGACGAAAGUCUGACCGAGCAACGCCGCGUGAGUGAAGAAGGUUUUCGGAUCGUAAAACUCUGUUGUUAGAGAAGAACAAGGAUGAGAGUAACUGUUCAUCCCUUGACGGUAUCUAACCAGAAAGCCACGGCUAACUACGUGCCAGCAGCCGCGGUAAUACGUAGGUGGCAAGCGUUGUCCGGAUUUAUUGGGCGUAAAGCGAGCGCAGGCGGUUUCUUAAGUCUGAUGUGAAAGCCCCCGGCUCAACCGGGGAGGGUCAUUGGAAACUGGGAGACUUGAGUGCAGAAGAGGAGAGUGGAAUUCCAUGUGUAGCGGUGAAAUGCGUAGAUAUAUGGAGGAACACCAGUGGCGAAGGCGGCUCUCUGGUCUGUAACUGACGCUGAGGCUCGAAAGCGUGGGGAGCAAACAGGAUUAGAUACCCUGGUAGUCCACGCCGUAAACGAUGAGUGCUAAGUGUUGGAGGGUUUCCGCCCUUCAGUGCUGCAGCUAACGCAUUAAGCACUCCGCCUGGGGAGUACGACCGCAAGGUUGAAACUCAAAGGAAUUGACGGGGGCCCGCACAAGCGGUGGAGCAUGUGGUUUAAUUCGAAGCAACGCGAAGAACCUUACCAGGUCUUGACAUCCUUUGACCACUCUAGAGAUAGAGCUUCCCCUUCGGGGGCAAAGUGACAGGUGGUGCAUGGUUGUCGUCAGCUCGUGUCGUGAGAUGUUGGGUUAAGUCCCGCAACGAGCGCAACCCUUAUUGUUAGUUGCCAUCAUUCAGUUGGGCACUCUAGCAAGACUGCCGGUGACAAACCGGAGGAAGGUGGGGAUGACGUCAAAUCAUCAUGCCCCUUAUGACCUGGGCUACACACGUGCUACAAUGGGAAGUACAACGAGUCGCGAAGUCGCGAGGCUAAGCUAAUCUCUUAAAGCUUCUCUCAGUUCGGAUUGUAGGCUGCAACUCGCCUACAUGAAGCCGGAAUCGCUAGUAAUCGCGGAUCAGCACGCCGCGGUGAAUACGUUCCCGGGCCUUGUACACACCGCCCGUCACACCACGAGAGUUUGUAACACCCGAAGUCGGUGAGGUAACCUU
This 1410-nucleotide ribosomal RNA is filed under the name Enterococcus durans. Its description in RNAcentral is "bacterial SSU rRNA". It matches the Rfam family "Bacterial small subunit ribosomal RNA". The record is from RNAcentral. Lineage: Bacteria; Bacillati; Bacillota; Bacilli; Lactobacillales; Enterococcaceae.